Molecule: small nucleolar RNA, 114 nt
Organism: Pyrus x bretschneideri (Chinese white pear)
Lineage: Eukaryota; Viridiplantae; Streptophyta; Magnoliopsida; Rosales; Rosaceae
Product: small nucleolar RNA Z152/R70/R12
Exons: 1
Source: RefSeq, a predicted model, not a curated record
GUUGCAAUGAUGAGAUUAAACACUUGGACGUGUUUUGGGCAGUGGACGAGGCCUCUUUAGGGGUUCUUGCCGUGAGCUCAUCUAACAAAACGACUUCUCCUUCCACUGAGCUCC